AUCUUGAGAGCGGCGUACGGGUGCGGAACACGUGUGCAACCUGCCUUUAUCUGGGGGAUAGCCUUUCGAAAGGAAGAUUAAUACCCCAUAAUAUGUUGAAUGGUAUCAUUCGACAUUGAAAACUCCGGUGGAUAGAGAUGGGCACGCGCAAGAUUAGAUAGUUGGUGAGGUAACGGCUCACCAAGUCUACGAUCUUUAGGGGGCCUGAGAAGGUGAUCCCCCAACUGGUACUGAGACACGGACCAAACUCCUACGGGAGGCAGCAGUGAGGAAUAUUGGACAAUGGGUGAGAGCCUGAUCCAGCCAUCCCGCGUGAAGGACGACUGCCCUAUGGGUUGUAAACUUCUUUGUAUAGGGAUAAACCUACCCUCGUGAGGGUAGCUGAAGGUACUAUACGAAUAAGCACCGGCUAACUCCGUGCCAGAAGACCGCGGUAAUACGGAGGGUGCAAAGCGUUAUCCGGAUUUAUUGGGUUUAAAGGGUCCGUAGCGGAUCUGUAAGUCAGUGGUGAAAUCUCACAGGUUAACUGUGGAAACUGCCAUUGAUAAUGNAGGUACUUGAGUGUUGNUGAAGUANACUGGAAAUAAGUAAGAUGUACGG
This 600-nucleotide ribosomal RNA is filed under the name uncultured bacterium. Its description in RNAcentral is "bacterial SSU rRNA". It matches the Rfam family "Bacterial small subunit ribosomal RNA", at positions 86 to 683 of the family's 1533-position model. The record is from RNAcentral.